UACGUAGGGUCCGAGCGUUGUCCGGAAUUAUUGGGCGUAAAGGGCUCGUAGGCGGUCUGUUGCGUCGGGAGUGAAAACUUACAGCUUAACUGUGAGCGUGCUUCCGAUACGGGCAGACUUGAGGUAUUCAGGGGAGAACGGAAUUCCUGGUGUAGCGGUGAAAUGCGCAGAUAUCAGGAAGAACACCCGUGGCUAAGGCGGUUCUCUAGUACGGUACUGACGCUGAGACGCGAAAGCGUGGGGAGCGAACAGG
This 253-nucleotide ribosomal RNA is filed under the name uncultured bacterium. RNAcentral's name for it is "partial 16S ribosomal RNA". It matches the Rfam family "Bacterial small subunit ribosomal RNA", at positions 524 to 776 of the family's 1533-position model. The record is from RNAcentral.